CAAGGGGCGUUCUGUAGGCACACACUGCCCAGCUGAACAGGAGGUGUGUGUGCGAGUGUGUGUGUGUGUGUGUGUGUGUGUGUGUGCGUGCGCGUGCCUGCCGCGCUGUAGGAAAGGGAGCAUUCCACCCCCACCCUCAACUUUAAUCUGCCAUCUCCCAGAGUUGUUAGACCCAUCACAGAACAUGACUUUGUUUACAGCAAACUCCAGAAGCACAAGAGGGAAAGUUACAGAAGCGCAUGUUUGGACAAGCAACAAGUGGCCCCUUUUGUGUCGCCGGAAUUCAGUGCAAAUGCAGCCUCCGCUACUGUGCUCUUCCGAAGUGGCGGCAGAUGAGAGCAUGGAGGCGAAGCGUAGGGAUGACGGCAGAUGAGUCCAUUGUCCUCGAGCGCGGUGGCAGCGGGGACACCCAUCACCAGCACAAUGACGUCACCGGAAAAGCUGAAAGAAUAGCUACGGCUGCAGAUGUCUUCUAAUUACGAGAAAGAAAUCGAGGACUACUCUGACCAAUAAAGAUUACUGCGCAGGUUAUACAUUUGUUACUACAGAAUUACUCGAAGAUCCCACACAUGCAAUUCAGAUACUCGGCCACUGGAGGAGGAGGCUGAUCUUUCGCACCGUCCCGGACAGAGGUUCACGACACGACGUCAGCGGACGACGGAGAGGACCUGCGGCCUCAUACACGUCUGAACUUAUAAAGAACAUCUCAUGGGGCUGCCAGUUUUGACAACGUGUCCCCUGCCAAUUCUUGACUAUUUUCACCGGGGGCUUGGACACAAAUACGGGAGGCAUUUGCUGCAGAGCAUUUUGUUAACUGGCAGUAAAACAAGUUGGCGAGUGGCGAUUAAAUUAACUGUAGUCUCUUCCACAGUGUUUACAGCUCAUGGUUGCUUUUCCUGAUCAAUAACAAGAUGAUGAGUGCUGGACAUGUUCAUGGGCACGUGUGUGUUUAAUUUCUUUUUUUUUUUUUUUUAAAUAUACUAGCUUAUCCGGUGGUAUAUUAAAAAUUAACUGCACUCAAGAAUCACGCGUCCGCAUCCAAACCUCUGCUUCUGUCGAGGUAACGGCCUUUUUUUAAACACUCUA
Molecule: long non-coding RNA, 1086 nt
Organism: Scleropages formosus (Asian bonytongue)
Lineage: Eukaryota; Metazoa; Chordata; Actinopteri; Osteoglossiformes; Osteoglossidae
Exons: 3
Source: RefSeq, a predicted model, not a curated record